RNAcentral lists this ribosomal RNA (366 nucleotides) under Triticum aestivum (bread wheat). RNAcentral's name for it is "partial small subunit ribosomal RNA". The record is from RNAcentral. Lineage: Eukaryota; Viridiplantae; Streptophyta; Magnoliopsida; Poales; Poaceae.
AUGUUUGGAGAAGCCACGGGCCUGAAGAUAAAUCGUCAGAAAUCAACUGCAACCCCGAUUCGUUGUGAAACAGUUGACAUUCAGCAGGUGUUGCAAAGUUUUGGGGGCACCGUGGCCAAUUUCCCGAUGAAGUACCUGGGGUUGCCGCUCACCCUCACCAGAACCAGGAUCGUGCACCUCCGGUUCGUCCUUGACCGGAUUAGGGCACGGUUGGCAGGGUGGAAAGGAAAGCUCAUGGCUAUCGCUGGCAGGCGGGUGCUAGUCCGAGCUGUUCUAAGCACAAUUCCUACCUUUGCUCUCACUGUGCUUCGUAUGCCGAAAAAAUUUCUCAAGGAUAUUGACAAGGUGCGGCGGCGUUUCCUCUGA